RNAcentral lists this transfer RNA (74 nucleotides) under Cryptococcus deneoformans B-3501A. Its description in RNAcentral is "tRNA-Arg". It matches the Rfam family "tRNA". Rfam says of the family: Transfer RNA (tRNA) molecules are approximately 80 nucleotides in length. Their secondary structure includes four short double-helical elements and three loops (D, anti-codon, and T loops). Lineage: Eukaryota; Fungi; Basidiomycota; Tremellomycetes; Tremellales; Cryptococcaceae. The record is from RNAcentral.
GUCCGCGUAGCACAGUGGUAGUGCGCUUGACUACGAUAAUCAAGAGGUCGCGAUUUCGAAUAUCGCCGUGGAUU